Transfer RNA from Podospora anserina, 97 nucleotides. It matches the Rfam family "tRNA". From Rfam's summary of the family: Transfer RNA (tRNA) molecules are approximately 80 nucleotides in length. Their secondary structure includes four short double-helical elements and three loops (D, anti-codon, and T loops). Further hydrogen bonds mediate the characteristic L-shaped molecular structure. tRNAs have two regions of fundamental functional importance: the anti-codon, which is responsible for specific mRNA codon recognition, and the 3' end, to which the tRNAs corresponding amino acid is attached (by aminoacyl-tRNA synthetases). tRNAs cope with the degeneracy of the genetic code in two manners: having more than one tRNA (with a specific anti-codon) for a particular amino acid; and 'wobble' base-pairing, i.e. permitting non-standard base-pairing at the 3rd anti-codon position. The record is from Rfam. NCBI's taxonomy places the organism in Eukaryota, Fungi, Ascomycota, Sordariomycetes, Sordariales, Podosporaceae.
GGCGAAGUGGCCGAGUGGUUAAGGCGCUGUGUUUAGGUAAUCAGAUUACCCGAAACCGCAGUGGGAAACCUCGCGAGUUCGAAUCUCGUCUUCGUCA